AGGGCUCCUAACUUCCCAAAAUCAAGCAAGCAUAGUAAAAUAUGAUAUAGUAGAUAGGCACUGGAUUGAAAUAAUGUCCUAGCAAGGAAUCCAUUGUUUUUAAACUUCCUGAUUUCACAUUAUGUAAUUAGAACUGAUCUCCAGUUUCCUUGCUUGUGAAAAUUACAGGAUUGAAAACAAUCAUUCAUUCUUUAAGCUUCAGGCAGGUCCUUCAGGAGAUGUUCCAGAAGAAGGCAUUGCUAUCAUAGAUGAUGACAGCUCCAUGCAUGUUAUUGCCCCAGAAGAACUUUCAGCGGUACAAGAUGUGGAGUAGAGAAACAAACACCAAAUGCCAAGAGAGCUUCUACUGCUAUUGCAGAGGGAAGGCUUAAGAGACUGCAGAGAAAAAGAGAGCAGAAUGGCAUGGAGAAAUGAGAAGAAACACACACCAAGUCAACUCCAGGUUGAACUCUGGAUCAAAUAUGUCUGAAGUGUCAAUGGAAAAUUGAGCUUCGCCAUUCUCGUCCGUAGUAUAAUUUCCUAUAAAUUCAUCAUUGAGCUCCAGUUGCAACAACUUGUUCACCAUAGAUAGAGCCUUGCUCUGUCACUCGGGCUGGGGUGAAAUAGCCCAAUCUUGACUCACUGCAACCUCCGCCUCCCAGGUUCAAGCGAUUCUCCUGCAUCAGUCUCUCAAGUAGCUGGGAUUACAGACACCUGCCACCACGCCUGGCUAAUUUUUGUAUUUUUAGUAGAGAUGGGGUUUCUCCACGUUGGUCAGGCUGGUCUCGAUCUCCUGACCUCACGUGAUCUGCCCGCCUCGGCCUCCCAAAGUGCUGGGAUUACAGCUGUGAAUCACUGCACCUGGCCUCAAAGACUUCUUCUUUAUGCAACUGUUUGUCUCUUAUCUACCUAUGACCUGGAAACCCCCUUAGUUUGGAUUGUCCUGCCUUUCUGGACCGAACCAAUGUACAUCUUACACAUAUUUGUUGAUGUCUCACAUCUCCCUGAAAUGUAUAAAAGCAAGCUGUAGCCCAACCACCUUGGGCACAUGUUGGUAGGACCUCUGGAGGCUGUCAUAGGUACAUCCUUCACCUUGGCAACAUAAGCUUUGCAAAUUGAUUGACAUCUGUCUCAGAUACUUUUGGUUCACAGUGUUUUAAGAGGAAGAAAUUCUAAUCAUCUAGAAAGGCACUAAAACAGAUGGAACAGAAGCGCUCAGCACAUGUGUAACAACAAAACAAACACUUUUUAAGUCAUUCCAAGCUAAAUCCCAGAAAAGACUAAAGAAACACAGACACAGUAUCAUACAAUUUGAGACACAGUAUACAACUGACGUGAACCUUCUAGAAACAGUGCUCUCACAAUCUGCCCAGAAAUAACUUUGUAGCAAGCACAGCUCCAGUCUAGCUGCCUGGUCUCCUGGCAAGAUAUUAUUAUUGCUGAUACUGAUUUACUCCUAUGUAACUCUAUCCAGAAUACAAUAUCAAAGAAAUUUCAAGAAAUCAGGAUCAUGGAUUGUAACCUGACAUACUGCUAAGGAACUACCAGUUCCAUGUUAGCAUGUGGUUUGCAAGUAUUUUCCAAAGGCCAUGCUUGAGAAACAUUUUUGUUCUUCCAAUGUGUUGUGGGUUUUGUUUUUAGCAUACUAUCGUGCAGAUAAAUAAAUGAGAUGUUAAUGCCACUGAAAGCUCUGGCUUUGCGUUUGGCUUUUCUAGUGAAACCUGUUUAGUAUUCUGGAUUUCUUCCAACUUGAAUUUAUCACCUCAUCAUUUUUAACAUCAGUGAUCUACACAGUCUCUCAUCUAUUACGUAUAUUAAAUUCUGGUAUUUUCAACUACUCUUCAUUAAAACUUAGAAAAAAAUUUAUAAUCAUUUCCUAAAGUCAAAAGAAGAUUUGAAAUGCUACUGAAAAAAAAAAAAGAAGGCUGAAAACUGGUUUGCAAGAUUCUCUGGGGCAUCAAAGGCAUCUUAAGAACCACGCUUGCACGUUCAUUAGACAGCCCUUUAAUCAAUGUAUCUUUAAUAGACUGCUGGAAAUACUCAAAGGUAAAUCUCCUGAAGAAAUACUCACUUAGCACAUACAUCC
RNAcentral lists this long non-coding RNA (2065 nucleotides) under Homo sapiens (human). Its description in RNAcentral is "HSALNT0367532". The record is from RNAcentral. Lineage: Eukaryota; Metazoa; Chordata; Mammalia; Primates; Hominidae.